Molecule: ribosomal RNA, 1403 nt
Filed under: Pseudomonas vancouverensis
Lineage: Bacteria; Pseudomonadati; Pseudomonadota; Gammaproteobacteria; Pseudomonadales; Pseudomonadaceae
Description: bacterial SSU rRNA
Rfam family: Bacterial small subunit ribosomal RNA
Source: RNAcentral
AGAAGUGUGAUUCGGGCGGAUGAAGAGAGCUUGCUCUCUGAUUCAGCGGCGGACGGGUGAAAAAUGCCUAGGAAUCUGCCUGGUAGUGGGGGACAACGUCCCGAAAGGGACGCUAAUACCGCAUACGUCCUACGGGAGAAAGCAGGGGACCUUCGGGCCUUGCGCUAUCAGAUGAGCCUAGGUCGGAUUAGCUAGUUGGUGAGGUAAUGGCUCACCAAGGCGACGAUCCGUAACUGGUCUGAGAGGAUGAUCAGUCACACUGGAACUGAGACACGGUCCAGACUCCUACGGGAGGCAGCAGUGGGGAAUAUUGGACAAUGGGCGAAAGCCUGAUCCAGCCAUGCCGCGUGUGUGAAGAAGGUCUUCGGAUUGUAAAGCACUUUAAGUUGGGAGGAAGGGUUGUAGAUUAAUACUCUGCAAUUUUGACGUUACCGACAGAAUAAGCACCGGCUAACUCUGUGCCAGCAGCCGCGGUAAUACAGAGGGUGCAAGCGUUAAUCGGAAUUACUGGGCGUAAAGCGCGCGUAGGUGGUUUGUUAAGUUGGAUGUGAAAGCCCCGGGCUCAACCUGGGAACUGCAUUCAAAACUGACAAGCUAGAGUAUGGUAGAGGGUGGUGGAAUUUCCUGUGUAGCGGUUGAAAUGCGUAGAUAUAGGAAGGAACACCAGUGGCGAAGGCGACCACCUGGACUGAUACUGACCACUGAGGUGCGAAAGCGUGGGGAGCAAACAGGAUUAGAUACCCUGUAGUCACGCCGUAAACGAUUCACCUAGCCGUUGGGACCUUAGCUCUAGUGGCGCAGCUACGCAUUAGUUGACCGCCUGGGGAGUACGGCCGCAAGGUAAAAUUCAAAUGAAUUGACGGGGGCCCGCACAAGCGGUGGAGCAUGUGGUUUAAUUUGAAGCAACGCGAAGAACCUUACCAGGCCUUGACAUCCAAUGAACUUUCCAGAGAUGGAUUGGUGCCUUCGGGAACAUUGAGACAGGUGCUGCAUGGCUGUCGUCAGCUCGUGUCGUGAGAUGUUGGGUUAAGUCCCGUAACGAGCGCAACCCUUGUCCUUAGUUACCAGCACGUUAUGGUGGGCACUCUAAGGAGACUGCCGGUGACAAACCGGAGGAAGGUGGGGAUGACGUCAAGUCAUCAUGGCCCUUACGGCCUGGGCUACACACGUGCUACAAUGGUCGGUACAGAGGGUUGCCAAGCCGCGAGGUGGAGCUAAUCCCACAAAACCGAUCGUAGUCCGGAUCGCAGUCUGCAACUCGACUGCGUGAAGUCGGAAUCGCUAGUAAUCGCGAAUCAGAAUGUCGCGGUGAAUACGUUCCCGGGCCUUGUACACACCGCCCUUCACACCAUGGGAGUGGGUUUAUCCUGAAGCCUCUAGCAGGAAGUCGUAACAAGGGGUCC